This 397-nucleotide ribosomal RNA is filed under the name uncultured bacterium. Its description in RNAcentral is "partial 16S ribosomal RNA". It matches the Rfam family "Bacterial small subunit ribosomal RNA", at positions 523 to 918 of the family's 1533-position model. The record is from RNAcentral.
AUACGUAGGGGGCGAGCGUUGUCCGGAAUGAUUGGGCGUAAAGGGCGCGUAGGCAGCGCGGUAAGUCUGGAGUGAAAGUCCUGCUUUCAAGGUGGGAAUUGCUUUGGAUACUGCCGCGCUUGAGUGCAGGAGAGGUUAUCGGAAUUCCCGGUGUAGCGGUGAAAUGCGUAGAGAUCGGGAGGAACACCAGUGGCGAAGGCGGGUAAUAGGACUGCAACUGACGCUGAGGCUCGAAAGUGUGGGGAGCAAACAGGAUUAUAUACCCUGGUAGUCCACACUGUAAACGAUGAAUGCUAGGUGUAAGAGGUAUCGACCCCUGUUGUUCCGGAGUCAACACAAUAAGCAUUCCGCCUGGGGAGUACGGCCGCAAGGUGGAAACUCAAAGGAAUUGACGGGG